CUCUUUAACUGAUAAAGUCACGCUGUGGUUCUGCGUCACAGUAAAGAGGUUUGAUGUUGCACUUUACAUCACCAUGAACACCGAGGGCAAGAGGACAGAGAGACCGGGGAAAAAACCAAACAAACCCGGGCAGCAGAAAAGUCUGCGUUCAUUCACUUUCUGUUUUUUUAAAUAAAUACAUGCAGAUGAAAUGUUCAAAACAGAUUUUGGCUUUAAAACAAUAACCAUUACAAAAAAUCUGUCUAUUUCUUCAUGUUUUUCAUCAUUUCAGCUUCAUUUUGGGGCUGAAAUUAACAAACAGCCGCGAACGAGCCGGACGUGUCGCGUGGAUCACGGUGAAGGAACACGACAUGACGACUGAAAAACUUACUCUCAGGCAGUGUGAGAGGAGAACCAGGUUCAUAAACAGGCAGGAAUCAGGCCAUGAGCAACCAGAGCAAAGAGGGAAAAACACAAAGACACAAAGACAUGAAGCAGGAAGCAGGAAGCAGAAAGCAGGAUAAUAAGUGUGAGGUAAACACACAGAAAUGUGUCUCAGUAUCUCCGGGACACUGAACAUUUACCUCACAGUGACUACAGGAACUGAAGGAGCUUAAAUGCCGUGACUGUGAGUGGUGUGUGAUGGAGUUCAGGUGUGUGUAAUUAGCAGUAUGGUGGACUUGAGCAGGUGAGUGUGUGUUGGGUGUUGUAGUCCAUGGCGGCCGUGUCUGUAGGCCGUGGUGCACUCUGGGAGAUGUGGUUGCUAGCGGCCAUGUUUGUAGGCUGCUCUGUGUUUCAGGGAAUUGGAGAGCAACAACAGAAACAUGGCAGAAAAAAGCUGA
Molecule: long non-coding RNA, 821 nt
Organism: Pangasianodon hypophthalmus (striped catfish)
Lineage: Eukaryota; Metazoa; Chordata; Actinopteri; Siluriformes; Pangasiidae
Exons: 2
Source: RefSeq, a predicted model, not a curated record